UGGAGAUGUAGCUCAGUGGUAGAGUGCUUGCCUCGCAUGCUCAAGGCUCAGAGAUCAAUUCUCAGUACUAA
Molecule: transfer RNA, 71 nt
Filed under: Marmota monax (woodchuck)
Lineage: Eukaryota; Metazoa; Chordata; Mammalia; Rodentia; Sciuridae
Description: tRNA.Ala
Source: RNAcentral